This is a long non-coding RNA of Tribolium castaneum (red flour beetle), 2319 nucleotides long. RefSeq lists it as uncharacterized. The transcript is spliced from 4 exons. Lineage: Eukaryota; Metazoa; Arthropoda; Insecta; Coleoptera; Tenebrionidae. The record is from RefSeq and is a predicted model, not a curated record.
UUUGAAAUAAAACUGACUGAAGGAUUUGGAAAAACAUGCUUUAGCAAAUAAAACAUUUUACGCGCUCGACCCACUGAUGCUAGACAUUGCUCUGACCAUCCUAACUUAUCAUUUACAAUGACCCCUAGAUCUUUGGUUGAGGUUUUUACACUCAGGAGUGUGCCAUUUAUAUGGUAAAGGUACUUUGGGUUGUUGUGGCCACACUGAAGUACACAGCAUUUUGCAAUAUUUAGUGGUAUUUGCCACUUCUCGCUCCAUUGGAAGAUUAAAUUAAGUUGGUCUUGCAAGUCCGUGACAAGUGGGUUAGCAAAUAACUUAAUAUCAUCCGCAUAUGCUGAAUAGCUGUCCAGUGAAAACAAUAAAUCUGCUGUAUAUAACAAGAAUAAAAUUGGUCCAAGAACUGAUCCCUGUGGGACCCCACUUAAUACUGGUUUAGAGUACGAAAAUUUACCACAGACUUUUACACAAUAGUUUCGAUUUGAUAGAAACGCUCGGAUCCAAUCAAGCAAAUUUCCUGUUACACCAUAGGACUCCAGUUUUGCUAACAAGAGAUUGUGAGGGACUUUAUCAAAGGCUUUACUAAAAUCAAGGUAAAUUAUGUCUACAGGUUGGUUAGUGUCUAACAUUUUUGUCCAUAGAUUUGUGCAGGAUAGCAAAUUUGUGACAACUGACCUACCUGGUAAAAAGCCGUGCUGAUGCUCAGCAUGUCGACGUGAGACUUACAGGUCUAUAGUUAGCAGGAUCAAGUUUAUCUCCUGACUUGUACAAAGGCGUGAUUGUUGCUUGCAACCACUCGUAGGGCAAAGUGCCUUGUAAGAAUGAUUUUGUCAUAAUUUUGGCAAGUGGGCCCGACAACGAAGCAGCACAAGUUCUCAGGAGUUUGGGAGGUAUCUGAUCCGGACCUGGAGCUGUAUUUAAUUUAAUGGCACAGAGUUGGCUUUUUACCAGAUCCGGAGUAAAAUUAAUAUAAGACAACCCACUAAAUGUAGCAGCAAAACUGUCCGCUAAAGUGUUUGCAGUUUCUGUAUGAUCGGAGCAGAGUAGACCUGAAGCAUUUCGUACUAAAGGGACCGACACACGACUAGAGAUAAAUUUACGUACAUGGGAAUAAAAUAGUUUUGGUUUAUUUAAUAUAGAAUUUUCAUAAUUACACCUGGCUAUUUGUAAAUCAGAUUUUAGUUGGUUAGAAAAUCUUUUAUAAGCAGAAAAAUUAUCUUCAGUAGGCUUCCUUUUAAAUUUUUUCCAUAAUUUAGCUUUGUAUUUUAUUUUGUCAAGCAUGUGUUGAUUUAUCCACGGUUUAUCUUUUCUCAGUCGGUUUGUAAACAGUCUGGAAUUUGUUGUAAUGCAAGUUUGUAAAAUCGAUUUAAAAUGUUUCCAUUGUUCUUCCGCAUUUAGUGAAUCUAAACCAUUCCAGUCGUAAGUCAAGAGACUUUCGUCUAUGCGAGUGUAGUCAACAAUUGAUGUUGUUUUAAUUCUUGCAUUUGGCUCUGAAUAUAUCAUAAUUUGUAACUCAAUUUCGAUUUUUGAAUGAUCAGAUGUACCUACAGGAUUCGAAACGUUUAAAGACGAUACAAGGUUAACGUCAGACAAAAUUACCAAAUCAAGUAAUGAAGGACGUUGUUGGGAUCUAAAUCGUGUAGGUUCAGUGACUAUUUGUGACAAAUUAUUCUCCAAGAGCAAUUCAGAAAAUUGUUUUUCGAUGAUUGUUUGACCUGUUGUGUUUUUAGCAGACCAGUCUAUACAUGGAAAAUUGAAAUCUCCCAUGAUAAUUAAGUUAGGAUACUGAUUAAUAGUUGAUUGUAUGGUAUUAAAUAGAUUUUUAUCAUUUUCGUGAUUGUUAAAAGACGCUCCUGUUGGUGGUCUGUAAAUACAUGCUAUAACAAAGGUUUGUUCAUUUCCUUCAAAUUUUAACCAUAGAGAAUCAUAAGGUUUAACAGAUAUGCAAAUUUGAGUAAUUUUAAAAAAUUUUGAAAUUUUAAUUUUAUCUACAUAAAAACACACACCGCCACCUUUUUGAGAUAGGCGAUCAUCUCUGUAAAUAGAGUAAUUUUCAAUGUGUACAGCAUCAUCAGAGAUAGACGGAUUAAGCCAAGUCUCCGUGAGUGCGAUAAUAGAAGGUCUAAAUUCAGUUACUUCUAAUAACAAAUCAUUAAAUUUUGAAGAUAAAGAUGCGAUAUUCGUAUACAGAAGAGCCAUUGAACAAGGUAAUUUCCAGAGGAAACAACAACAACCACAUACACCCAGAUAUCAAAUUCAACAAUCAACACCAAGAAUCAACCACUGAAAAUGAAUCCCAAAGGCAAGAGCACGCAGAGACAC